This 236-nucleotide ribosomal RNA is filed under the name uncultured bacterium. Its description in RNAcentral is "partial 16S ribosomal RNA". It matches the Rfam family "Bacterial small subunit ribosomal RNA", at positions 100 to 334 of the family's 1533-position model. The record is from RNAcentral.
CGGGACGGGUGAGUAACGCGUGGGUAACCUGCCUCAUACAGGGGGAUAACGGUUAGAAAUGACUGCUAAUACCGCAUAAGCGCACAGUACCGCAUGGUACAGUGCGAAAAACUCCGGUGGUAUGAGAUGGACCCGCGUCUGAUUAGCUAGUUGGUGAGGUAACGGCCCACCAAGGCGACGAUCAGUAGCCGACCUGAGAGGGUGACCGGCCACAUUGGGACUGAGACACGGCCCAG